RNAcentral lists this ribosomal RNA (1095 nucleotides) under Triplophysa strauchii (spotted thicklip loach). Its description in RNAcentral is "partial large subunit ribosomal RNA". It matches the Rfam family "Bacterial large subunit ribosomal RNA", at positions 170 to 2058 of the family's 2925-position model. Lineage: Eukaryota; Metazoa; Chordata; Actinopteri; Cypriniformes; Nemacheilidae. The record is from RNAcentral.
ACCACCAAAAUUAACUUAACACCAUAAAUAAUUUAGCAUUAAUUAAACCAAAAAAUUAAAUCAUUUUUCCACCUUAGUACGGGAGACGGAAAAGGUAAUUUUAAGCAAUAGAGAAAGUACCGCAAGGGAAAGCUGAAAGAGUAAUGAAACAAUUCACACAAGCACAAAAAAGCAGAGCCUAACCCUCGUACCUUUUGCAUCAUGAUUUAGCCAGCACUACACAAGCAAAGCGACCUUUAGUUUGAAACCCCGAAACCAAGUGAGCUACCCCGGGACAGCCUGUUUGGGCGAACCCGUCUCUGUGGCAAAAGAGUGGGAAGAGCCCCGGGUAGAGGUGAUAAACCUACCGAACUUGGUGAUAGCUGGUUGCCUAAGAAAUGAAUAGAAGUUCAGCCUCGUACCCCUUUAGCCAACUAGGAAAUAUCUGAGUAAGCACAGAAGAGAAAUACGAGAGUUAGUUAAAGGGGGUACAGCCCCUUUAAUAAAGGACACAACCUUAAAUAGGAGGAUAAGAGUCACAUUUUAUAAAACUAGUCGUUCCAGUGGGCCUAAAAGCAGCCAUCUGAUUAGAAAGCGUUAAAGCUCAAACGACAUACAGUUUAUUAUACUGAUAAAUAGCCCAAUUCCCCUAAAAGUAUUAGGCCGUUCCAUGCCACCAUGGAAGAGACCAUGCUAGAAUGAGUAAUAAGAGGGUAUGACCCUCUCCUAGCACAAGUGUAAGCCAGAUUGGACAAGCCGCUGGAAAUUAACGAACCCAUAAGAAGAGGGUAGUGUGUUUACUAAAGAAUUCGAGAAAAUAACACAAUAAUUACAUCGUUAAACCUACACUGGAGUGCCAUCGAGGAAAGACUAAAAGAAAGGGAAGGAACUCGGCAAACACAAGCCUCGCCUGUUUACCAAAAACAUCGCCUCCUGCAAACCCCUACGUAUAGGAGGUCCAGCCUGCCCGGUGACUACAAGUUUAACGGCCGCGGUAUUUUGACCGUGCAAAGGUAGCGCAAUCACUUGUCUUUUAAAUGAAGACCUGUAUGAAUGGCUAAACGAGGGCUUAACUGUCUCCCUUUUCAGGUCAGUGAAAUUGAUCUACCCGUGCAG